CAAAUGGCCCCACUAACACCCUGGGCACCAUUCCAGCCUCGCCAGCAAGCUGCGUUCAUGAGUCUCCUCACCUCAGGGACCCUGGGGAUGCCUUUCCGGGGCUGUUGGGUGUCCAGCAGACACUGCCACAAAAGGGAGGGCACUGAGUGGACCUGCAUGGGGAUGAGAGGGCCAGAAGCCAGCAGCCGUCCUGCUUCCCCUGGUGCAGAGCACAUCCUUCUCUCUAAGUAGUCCGUUGCCUGGUGCUUGUCCCAAACUAGCUGCUUCUCCAGCCCACAGUGGGGACACAGGGCAAUCCAGGGGGUCCGGCACCCUGCCGGGUACCUGCAGGCCAGUGACGCCCCUCUCCACAGGAGCAGAAGGACGAGGCCGUGCAGACCGAGGUCACCUCCUCCAUUGCUGCCCACAGCCAUGCUGACACCAGCUCCGGUGUCCUGAGGGAGGAGCGCACAGAGCUCUUUGGUCAGCCCAGGCCUGGAGCACCCUGCAGCGCGCAGAGGAGCGGCCACGUUCAUCCAUGGGGAAGGGCACACCCUGCCAGGCCAACAGCCAGGUGGAGGCCAAGCUGCAAGCAGGCAGCAGCAAAGCCGAGCAGGCACAGAGCAGGUAGGAGGCCCUGAGCCUGGCUGUCCCUGGCACAGCCAGAGCCCAGCCAGGGUUGUGCCCAUGCCCACUCCAUCAAGGGAGGGCAGCCUGGGGCCACCACAGCUGAGGCUGUGCCCUUGCCCCCAGGGAGGUGGCAGUGCAGGUCCAGGCAGAGCUCAGCCAGUGCCAGCAGAAACAGCAACUGAGCCUGGAGCAGGAGCUGAAACACGUGCACCCUGCGUCCCAUGCCCAAGAGAAGGUGCAGAAGAGCCUCGAACAGCUCCAAGCCCUGAGGGAGCAGGUUGGUAGUGGACAAAACCUGCUGGGGGGGUCCCUCCGUCAGCCUGGCCCAGUCUCCCCUGCCCCCGUGGGUAAGCCAGGGCUUGCCCAGGGCCAGGAGCAAGCUACCACGCCACGAGAGCAGCAAGGGCAGCUGCACUGCCAGCAGGACGGGAAGGAACAGCUCUAGCAAGAGCUGCAGCAGGCGAGG
RNAcentral lists this long non-coding RNA (1075 nucleotides) under Calidris pugnax (ruff). RNAcentral describes it as "lncRNA (ENSCPUG00000013185.1)". The record is from RNAcentral. Lineage: Eukaryota; Metazoa; Chordata; Aves; Charadriiformes; Scolopacidae.